ACGGCACAGGAGCUCUUCUUCAUUUUGUUCCUCAUUUCUCCAAGCUCAACAAUCAGACCCUUACCCCUUAACGGCGCUCCAUCGCUGCUACCUCCUCCUCCAUAUCCAGACCCCUCAUCUCCCAUAAUCAAAAGCACAAAAACACCAGCCCUUCUUCUUCGCAGGGAACCUUAGGACCUAGGAAGCUAAGAGUUUACCCCAUUUCCUUUGACAAAGAGCAGCGAUGCUCAAAAGAAAAAAAAUAUAAAAAAAUCAGCCUCUUUAACUUAUCCUCUCACUCUCAACACGCCUACAUACAGUUGUUGAAGCUUAAGAAUUUCUAUAACUCAACUUCAAACUCCUUAGAAAGAAGCAAUCAAAUGUCGGAUUUGAAAUCACAUAGCCGAUUUAGUAUUUCAGCCUUUCUUCUUCAUAAUCUCUGUGGUUUUCAAGGUUAUUAGAAGCUAUAGAUGAGCUGCUUGUUUAUCAAUUUGGACUGCACUGGUUGCUGAGUUUCAAAUUUCUGUAUCUCGCCUUUAUCCAGUCCUUUAAGCUGGUUCUCGCAUAACCAGAUCUAGUGUUUCCGGGCACGGUGGGUGUUGAUUCCUUUGCACAGUUGAUCGUUUGGAGAUUCAAAGGUAACUUCUCGGAGUUUCGUAGACCUUGUCUCUCCUUCCUUAUCUUUACGCUUUUUGUAUUUAGUUUCAGACUAUUAUAGACAGUACUUCAAGAUUUGUGAUGUAUAGACGCUCAUGUACUUAGUAACACCUCGAUGCUGGGAAUUUUUAUAUUGGGUGACCUUC
Long non-coding RNA from Nicotiana tabacum (common tobacco), 782 nucleotides. RefSeq lists it as uncharacterized. The record is from RefSeq and is a predicted model, not a curated record. NCBI's taxonomy places the organism in Eukaryota, Viridiplantae, Streptophyta, Magnoliopsida, Solanales, Solanaceae.